RNAcentral lists this ribosomal RNA (253 nucleotides) under uncultured bacterium. Its description in RNAcentral is "partial 16S ribosomal RNA". It matches the Rfam family "Bacterial small subunit ribosomal RNA", at positions 524 to 776 of the family's 1533-position model. The record is from RNAcentral.
UACGUAGGGCGCAAGCGUUGUCCGGAAUUAUUGGGCGUAAAGCGCUCGUAGGCGGUCUGUCGCGUCGGCUGUGAAAACUCGGGGCUCAACCCCGAGCCUGCAGUCGAUACGGGCAAACUAGAGUGUGGUAGGGGAGACUGGAAUUCCUGGUGUAGCGGUGAAAUGCGCAGAUAUCAGGAGGAACACCGGCGGCGAAGGCGGGUCUCUGGGCCAGAACUGACGCUGAGGAGCGAAAGCGUGGGGAGCGAACAGG